Molecule: ribosomal RNA, 301 nt
Filed under: uncultured bacterium
Lineage: Bacteria
Description: partial 16S ribosomal RNA
Rfam family: Bacterial small subunit ribosomal RNA
Source: RNAcentral
CAGUAGCCACGGUAAUACGAAGGGUGCAAGCGUUAAUCGGAAUUACUGGGCGUAAAGCGUGCGCAGGCGGUUAUAUAAGUCAGAUGUGAAAUCCCCGGGCUCAACCUGGGAACUGCAUUUGAGACUGUAUGGCUAGAGUGUGUCAGAGGGGGGUAGAAUUCCACGUGUAGCAGUGAAAUGCGUAGAUAUGCGGAGGAACACCGAUGGCGAAGGCAGCCCCCUGGGCCAAUACUGACGCUCAUGCACGAAAGCGUGGGGAGCAAACAGGAUUAGAUACACCAGUAGUCCCUGUCUCUUAUAU